CGGGGGAUGGUGGAAAUGUCCGCCUCGCGUCAGCUGUCGCCCAAGGAGAAAUCCUGUUAGCCCCCACAGCCGGAGACUUAGCAGUUCACGAUAAACCCUGGUGUAGAGACUGAACUUUGGGAACCUGGACGGAUACCUUGGUCACCACGCAACAGAAAUCAAAGGCGUAGGCAUCUGCCACCUGAGUUUCCUCCCCAACGCCCUACCAGUGGGGUCACUGAAAAGCUCAGGGCGCGGUCUGGCAGAGAGACAGCAUCGCCCCUCCCACACCCAGAUGAUCGGGGCGGGGGUCACUCCCUGGGUCAGAAGGCGUCAAGGACUUCUUGGAUCCUCGCUCUGCGGGUCCAGCCGCCGACCCGGGGCCCGCCAGUCGCCAGCUCACGCCACUCUGCCUGACGCCAGGCUGGCUCUAUCCUUUUUGCCCCCCUUUAACUCCGCACGGAAGGGCUGUUUUUUAAAAUGGUCGCGUGAAAAAUGAGGGAGGAAAAGCAAGCAGCCAAUAAUCGAUACUAGGGUAGCGAAAAAGAAACACCCUGCCUGGGAAUGCCUAAUACAGUAGGCGCCCGUUCAAUGUUUGUUCGGGGAGGGCUGGGUGACUCAGAACAAACAACUCGAAGUCAGGAGGUAGCUGUGCGGCUCUGCCACGUGGUCAGUUAUACAAGCCAUUUAGUCUCUCUCAUCUGUAAAACGACAGAGUUGGACUAAAUGUCUUCUUUGGGACGGCCCAUUCAGCUGAACUCAUUCAGGAGCCUGCCUUGUGGAAGCCUAAAGACAUCCAGCUGGUUCGUGAAGAGAAUAACUAGCUCUGUUCUGUCUCUUUGCCCCUUAUUCUAGGUGCCCUUCUUUGACAGAAUGUAUUGUGCUACCAUUGAAGUUGUACAGACACAAGGAAUACAGUACUGCCCCUACUUCAGCUGGUGACAGAAAAAAGAGUAUCAGAAUUUGUAUGGUUGCAAUGAACCAUAACCCAGACCUGCUCAGGUUUUGUAAGAGUGGUUAUCACUACCAGAAGAUCAGCAAUGCAGCUGGCCUACAGAUGAUGAGAACUUUUUUGUUUGACCUGAUUUUCUUUUACUCCAAACUGCCUUCCAG
This is a long non-coding RNA of Bos taurus (domestic cattle), 1092 nucleotides long. The record is from Ensembl. NCBI's taxonomy places the organism in Eukaryota, Metazoa, Chordata, Mammalia, Artiodactyla, Bovidae.